UGGGUUUAUCCUCAGUCAAACCUUUUCAAGUUUGACAAAGUUUAAAGAAAAAUAUAGCAACAUUUCCAACACAAAAUAAAUAUGCUAUAAAAAUAUAUCUAAUGGUGGAUUUCAUGAAACUAAUUUGGCCUUGCAGAUACUGGUAUAUUUUUCUAUAAAUUUGAUCAAACUUGAAGACGUUUGACUUAUGACAAACCAAA
RNAcentral lists this microRNA precursor (200 nucleotides) under Oryza brachyantha (malo sina). RNAcentral describes it as "MIR1435 microRNA precursor family". It matches the Rfam family "MIR1435 microRNA precursor family". Lineage: Eukaryota; Viridiplantae; Streptophyta; Magnoliopsida; Poales; Poaceae. The record is from Rfam by way of RNAcentral.